Molecule: ribosomal RNA, 926 nt
Filed under: uncultured bacterium
Lineage: Bacteria
Also listed under: 1 other name
Description: bacterial SSU rRNA
Rfam family: Bacterial small subunit ribosomal RNA
Source: RNAcentral
UGGAUCCAGACUUUGAUUCUGGCUCAGGAUGAACGCUAGCUACAGGCUUAACACAUGCAAGUCGAGGGGAAACGACAUUGAAAGCUUGCUUUCGAUGGGCGUCGACCGGCGCACGGGUGAGUAACGCGUAUCCAACCUGCCCAUCACUUGGGGAUAACCUUGCGAAAGUAAGACUAAUACCCAAUGACGUCUCUAGAAGACAUCUGAAAGAGAUUAAAGAUUUAUCGGUGAUGGAUGGGGAUGCGUCUGAUUAGCUUGUUGGCGGGGUAACGGCCCACCAAGGCGACGAUCAGUAGGGGUUCUGAGAGGAAGGUCCCCCACAUUGGAACUGAGACACGGUCCAAACUCCUACGGGAGGCAGCAGUGAGGAAUAUUGGUCAAUGGACGAGAGUCUGAACCAGCCAAGUAGCGUGCAGGAUGACGGCCCUAUGGGUUGUAAACUGCUUUUAUAAGGGAAUAAAGUGAGUCUCGUGAGACUUUUUGCAUGUACCUUAUGAAUAAGGACCGGCUAAUUCCGUGCCAGCAGCCGCGGUAAUACGGAAGGUCCGGGCGUUAUCCGGAUUUAUUGGGUUUAAAGGGAGCGUAGGCCGGAGAUUAAGCGUGUUGUGAAAUGUAGAUGCUCAACAUCUGCACUGCAGCGCGAACUGGUUUCCUUGAGUACGCACAAAGUGGGCGGAAUUCGUGGUGUAGCGGUGAAAUGCUUAGAUAUCACGAAGAACUCCGAUUGCGAAGGCAGCUCACUGGAGCGCAACUGACGCUGAAGCUCGAAAGUGCGGGUAUCGAACAGGAUUAGAUACCCUGGUAGUCCGCACGGUAAACGAUGGAUGCCCGCUGUUGGUCUGAAUAGGUCAGCGGCCAAGCGAAAGCAUUAAGCAUCCCACCUGGGGAGUACGCCGGCAACGGUGCAACUCAAAUGAAUUGACGGA